This 446-nucleotide ribosomal RNA is filed under the name uncultured bacterium. RNAcentral describes it as "bacterial SSU rRNA". It matches the Rfam family "Bacterial small subunit ribosomal RNA", at positions 330 to 792 of the family's 1533-position model. The record is from RNAcentral.
CCCAGACUCCUACGGGAGGCAGCAAUGGGGGAUAUUGCACAAUGGGGGGAACCCUGAUGCAGCGACGCCGCGUGGGUGAAGGAGCGUUUCGGCGCGUAAAGCCCUAUCGGCAGGGAAGAAGGAGGACGGUACCUGACUAAGAAGCCCCGGCUAACUACGUGCCAGCAGCCGCGGUAAUACGUAGGGGGCAAGCGUUAUCCGGAUUUACUGGGUGUAAAGGGGGCGCAGACGGCAGCGCAAGCCAGGAGUGAAAGCCCGGGGCCCAACCCCGGGACUGCUCUUGGAACUGCGCGGCUGGAGUGCAGGAGGGGCAGGCGGAAUUCCUGGUGUAGCGGUGAAAUGCGUAGAUAUCAGGAGGAACACCGGUGGCGAAGGCGGCCUGCUGGACUGCGACUGACGUUGAGGCCCGAAAGCGUGGGGAGCAAACAGGAUUAGAUACCCCGGUA